UACAGAGGGGGCAAGCGUUGUUCGGAAUUACUGGGCGUAAAGGGCGCGUAGGCGGCCCGCUAAGUCGAACGUGAAAUCCCCAGGCUCAACCUGGGAACUGCGUCCGAUACUGGCAGGCUUGAAUCCGGGAGAGGGAUGUGGAAUUCCAGGUGUAGCGGUGAAAUGCGUAGAUAUCUGGAGGAAUACCGGUGGCGAAGGCGGCAUCCUGGACCAUUACUGACGCUGAGGCGCGAAAGCUAGGGGAGCAAACGGG
This 253-nucleotide ribosomal RNA is filed under the name uncultured bacterium. RNAcentral's name for it is "partial 16S ribosomal RNA". It matches the Rfam family "Bacterial small subunit ribosomal RNA", at positions 524 to 776 of the family's 1533-position model. The record is from RNAcentral.